Molecule: ribosomal RNA, 473 nt
Filed under: uncultured delta proteobacterium
Lineage: Bacteria; Deltaproteobacteria
Description: bacterial SSU rRNA
Rfam family: Bacterial small subunit ribosomal RNA
Source: RNAcentral
GAGUUUGAUCAUGGCUCAGAACGAACGUUGAUGGCGUGCCUCAUACAUGCAAGUCGAGCGCCCCGCAAGGGGAGCGGCGAACGGGUGAGUAACACGUAAGGAAUCUGCCCUAAGGUGGGGAAUAACUAUCCCAACGGAUAGCUAAUACCGCAUAAGGAUGGGAGUGGCAUCACUCCUUCUCGAAAGAUUUAUCGCCUUAGGAUGACCUUGCGUCCCAUUAGCUUGUUGGCGGUGUAACGGACCACCAAGGCGACGAUGGGUAUCCGGCCUGAGAGGGUGUACGGACACAUUGGGACUGAGAUACGGCCCAGACUCCUACGGGAGGCAGCAGUAGGGAAUUUUGCGCAAUGGAGGCAACUCUGACGCAGCAACGCCAUGUGUGGGAUGAAGCAUUUCGGUGUGUAAACCACUGUCAGCAGGGAAUAAAUGGUCGCUUAGGCGGCAGUUGAAUGUACCUGCAAAGGAAGCCCCGG